UACGGAGGGUGCAAGCGUUACUCGGAAUCACUGGGCGUAAAGGACGCGUAGGCUGGUUAGAAAGUCAGGUGUGAAAGCCUACAGCUCAACUGUAGAACUGCAGUUGGAACUUCUAAUCUAGAGUAUGGGAGGGGGAGAUGGAAUUAGUGGUGUAGGGGUAAAAUCCGUAGAUAUCACUAGGAAUACCUAAAGCGAAGGCGAUCUCCUGGAACAUUACUGACGCUAAGGCGUGAAAGCGUGGGGAGCAAACAGG
RNAcentral lists this ribosomal RNA (253 nucleotides) under uncultured bacterium. Its description in RNAcentral is "partial 16S ribosomal RNA". It matches the Rfam family "Bacterial small subunit ribosomal RNA", at positions 524 to 776 of the family's 1533-position model. The record is from RNAcentral.